This 253-nucleotide ribosomal RNA is filed under the name uncultured bacterium. RNAcentral's name for it is "partial 16S ribosomal RNA". It matches the Rfam family "Bacterial small subunit ribosomal RNA", at positions 524 to 776 of the family's 1533-position model. The record is from RNAcentral.
UACAGAGGAUGCAAGCGUUAUCCGGAAUCAUUGGGCGUAAAGCGCACGUAGGCGGUCUGUUAUGUCGGAUGUGAAAGCCCUCGGCUCAACUGAGGAAGUGCAUCCGAAACUGGCAGGCUAGAGUACUAAAGAGGGUCGCGGAAUUCCCGGUGUAGAGGUGAAAUUCGUAGAUAUCGGGAGGAACACCGGUGGCGAAGGCGGCGACCUGGGUAGAUACUGACGCUGAGGUGCGAAAGCGUGGGGAGCAGACAGG